RNAcentral lists this ribosomal RNA (265 nucleotides) under uncultured Fastidiosipila sp. Its description in RNAcentral is "partial 16S ribosomal RNA". It matches the Rfam family "Bacterial small subunit ribosomal RNA", at positions 1101 to 1382 of the family's 1533-position model. The record is from RNAcentral. Lineage: Bacteria; Bacillati; Bacillota; Clostridia; Eubacteriales; Oscillospiraceae.
AACCUCGCUGUGUGUUACAAGUGUCACACAGGACCGCCGGCUUAAGCCGGAGGAAGUGGGGAUGACGUCAAGUCAGCAUGGCCUUUAUGUCCAGGGCUACACACACGCUACAAUGGUCAGCACAAUAGGUAGCCAAGCCGCGAGGUGGAGCCAAUCCUCAAAGCUGGCCUCAGUUCAGAUCGCAGGCUGCAACCCGCCUGCGUGAAGCCGGAGUUGCUAGUAACCGCAGGUCAGCUAUACUGCGGUGAAUACGUUCCCGGGGCUU